GAGGCAGGGUGGAGUCUAUUUCAGGUUUUUUGUUUUUCCUAGCCUGGGAGGUUAGGUUUGUAUGUUAGAAUGCAAACAUAUCCUAUAAUCAUUGCAACGAGAAGGAACCAGUCAUGGCAAAAAUCCAGUGAUCUAAUGUCAGUUAGUUGCAAUGGCUAAUGCUAACUACAUGCAGAUAUCCAGAAGAUUAAAGCAAAAGAAAAACAUCUGAAGAUCCAUCCAUCUCAGCAUGCGUCUCUGCAUACCUGUCUGACAUCUGAAACUGGACGAGGGAACACCACGUUAAGCUCAACUUGGCAAAAACAGAGCUUCUUGUCAUUCUUGCUUGCUCGUCAAUCAACCACAACCUCACCGUACAGCUCGGCUCAACCACACUCAUGCCAACCAGGACAGACAGAAACCUUGGGGUGACUUUCGAUGACCACUUCUCCUUUACAACUGCACAGAUCUGUAAAUCAGACUCUAUGUCACCGAACAGGCUACAGAGCUACGAGUCCAGGCUCUUGUUAUCUCAAACUGGACUAUUAAUGCACUACUCUCGGGCCUUCCAGCCAGCUCCAUCAAACCCCUUCAGAUGAUUCAGAAUGCAGCACCACAGCUUGUUUUCAACCAGGCCAAAAGAACCCUAUUCACAUCCCUCUUCAUCUCCCUCCACUGGCUUCCUGUAGCAAAUUCAAAGCCUUGAUGCUCACCUACAAGACCUUGUCUGGAACAGCACCCUCCUACCUCAACACUCUCCUUGAAAAUUAUGUUCCCUCAUGGAACCUGCAAUCAGUUAACGACUGACACCUGGUAGUGCCCUACUCAGCAAGGCACGAGGUCCCUUGCCAGAACCUUCAAAAUAACUCCCCUGCCUCCCAACUACAAAAAUAAAAUAAAAAACAUUCUACACUUACACUGGCUCUUACACACCUGCCCUGCAUACUUUGCGUCUUAGUUAAAAAUCUUGUAUUGUAGCACUACUUGUAUUGUUCUCUGAUUGACAUAUUGCUUUACUUGUACUUCCUCAUUUGUAAGUUGCUUUGGAUAAAAGCAUCUGCUAAAUGAAUAAAUGCAAACGUAAAUAAAAAUGUAAAUGUAUAUGGCCAAAGGUUUGUGGACACCAGACCAUCACACCAAUAUGCUUUUUGAACAUUCCAUUCCAAAUUUAUUCCCCAUUUGCUGUUAUAAUACACUCUUUUGGGAAGGCUUUCCAUUAUAUUUUGGAGAGUGGCUCGAGUGCAACCUUGGAAAACCAUGUAUUCAUGGAGUUUUAUGGAGCAUUGUGCAAAGAGGCAUUGUCAUGCUGGAACAGGUUUGGGCCCCUUAGUUUCAUUCUAUACAAUUGUGUGCUUCCAACUUUGUGGCAACAGUUUUGGGGAAGACCCACAUA
Long non-coding RNA from Ictalurus punctatus (channel catfish), 1372 nucleotides. RefSeq lists it as uncharacterized. The transcript has 3 exons. The record is from RefSeq and is a predicted model, not a curated record. NCBI's taxonomy places the organism in Eukaryota, Metazoa, Chordata, Actinopteri, Siluriformes, Ictaluridae.